RNAcentral lists this ribosomal RNA (571 nucleotides) under uncultured bacterium. Its description in RNAcentral is "partial 16S ribosomal RNA". It matches the Rfam family "Bacterial small subunit ribosomal RNA", at positions 355 to 1375 of the family's 1533-position model. The record is from RNAcentral.
UGGGGAAUAUUGGACAAUGGGCGGAAGCCUGAUCCAGCAACGCCGCGUGAGGGAUGACGGCCUUCGGGUUGUAAACCUCUUUCAGUACCGACGAAGCGGAAGUGACGGUAGGUACAGAAGAAGCACCGGCCAACUACGUGCCAGCAGCCGCGGUAAUACGUAGGGUGCGAGCGUUGUCCGGAAUUAUUGGGCGUAAAGGGCUCGUAGGCGGUUUGUCGCGUCGGGAGUGAAAACACUGGGCUUAACUCAGUGCUUGCUUCCGAUACGGGCAGACUAGAGGCAUGCAGGGGAGAACGGAAUUCCUGGUGUAGCGGUGAAAUGCGCAGAUAUCAGGAGGAACACCGGUGGCGAAGGCGGUUCUCUGGGCAUGUCCUGACGCUGAGGAGCGAAAGUGUGGGGAGCGAACAGGAUUAGAUACCCUGGUAGGUCCACACCGUAAAACGUUGGGCGCUAGGUGUGGGGGCCUAUUCCAUGGGUUCCGUGCCGCAGCUAACGCAUUAAGCGCCCCGCCUGGGGAGUACGGCCGCAAGGCUAAAACUCAAAGGAAUUGACGGGGUCAUAGCUGUUUCCU